RNAcentral lists this ribosomal RNA (206 nucleotides) under uncultured bacterium. Its description in RNAcentral is "partial 16S ribosomal RNA". It matches the Rfam family "Bacterial small subunit ribosomal RNA", at positions 568 to 774 of the family's 1533-position model. The record is from RNAcentral.
CACGUAGGCGGAUUCCUAAGUCGGGGGUGAAAUCCUGGAGCUCAACUCCAGAACUGCCUUCGAUACUGGGAAUCUUGAGUCCGGGAGAGGUGAGUGGAACUGCGAGUGUAGAGGUGAAAUUCGUAGAUAUUCGCAAGAACACCAGUGGCGAAGGCGGCUCACUGGCCCGGUACUGACGCUGAGGUGCGAAAGCGUGGGAGCAAACA